RNAcentral lists this non-coding RNA (24 nucleotides) under Arabidopsis thaliana (thale cress). Lineage: Eukaryota; Viridiplantae; Streptophyta; Magnoliopsida; Brassicales; Brassicaceae. The record is from RNAcentral.
UACAGUUAGAUUUUGGUCAUGCCU